CGCGUGGCACGGCCGGGGGCGCCUGCAGAGAACGCUCAGCGCCUGAACCACUUCGGCAGGGAGAGCGAACGAGGUGCCUUAAAUUUAGCUGUCAGAAGGUCGGGUGACUCUAUGCCUCCAUAGCCUCGAAGUUCUGACGUCUCGCUGAACCUGGUGCGAGGUAUUUGGCUUUACGAAUUUUCUGCAGAAAACGCCCGCGAACUGCCCGAGUCACGAAAACCCAGCAUGAGAAAGGUGCUGGGAUGCAGCAACCAAACACUCCCAGGGAUCGCAGCUGGAUUUCUGCACUAUUUGCUCCUCAUCUGGAAGUCACACUUGCAGCAGGGAUGAUGAUGAUGAAGCUUCAGGUGAAAAACAAAACAAAAGGAUCAGAGGAACACCUACACAUAAGGUAGCAUUCUCAUGCCAGAAUUUUUAGUCAAGAACAAUCAGACUACAAAAAACACACCCAAACUUUCUCCAGGAAUAAACAAAACAUUUAUCUCAACCAAGUGCCUGCAGGGGAAAAAAAACUUUAGCCACCUGUCUCAAGCCCUCCCACUUAGCCCAACUUCACUGAAGUUCACUGAAGUUCAUGGAAGUGGACACAGCUUGAAGAACAGCCCUAUGGAAACAAUACUGUGGUGAAACAAUUUGUCACUAGCCUUGGCAUUAACUCACCUGGUUAUACUCUCUAGCAUUUUGGAAGCUGGGCAGGAUACUUUUGCUGUCACACUAAUACGGAAUAAAUCCUUCUUUUCCACUCAACCCUCCCAACCCUUCCCACCUCAGCCAGCGAGUGGUUGGUGACAGGGUAGGAUGACAUCUACCUGCCAUCCAGACUGACAAGAACCCAGUGUCAGUAACCAAACCAGGCCACUGUCCCUGUGUCCAGGAAAAGGGAUGUGCAUGCAGUGUCUCCUACAGGAAAGCAGGUGGUGUAACAGGUAAACAAAAUGCAGUGAAAAAGUCAAAUAAAUAAAGCCUUGUAAUUUGUCCAUUAGCAUCAGAAGUAUUAAAGGACAUUGUCAAGUUACUACACCCAAAAACAAGACAGUGCCUGAUUCACUCCUCAGGUUAGUUUAGGUAGUCACAUCACAAGUCUGACCCAGAAUAUUUUUAAAUUACCAAAAACUGUAACGUGCACAUUAUUUUGAUACUUUAAGUCAGUAGGUUUGCUUAGGCUCAGCAAAAUGAACUGAAGUGGUGUGUUUUGUGCCUCUCAGGAGAUUUGGUGUUCUUAGAUAAGAAACCUUUAAAUGCUAUCCCAGGAUUUAGCACCUAAUCCACAUUCCAUAAAAAUAAUUCUAGAGAAUUAAAUAGGCUUUACAUCAGAUCUAUCAGGGUGUGUCUUCCUUCUCCAUGACCAGUCUUUCCUACUUGCUACCUACACCAUGAUGCACAACAAAACUGGGACUGUCUGCAGCUUGUUUGGCCAGCCAGAGGAGUGAGCUGGGCCAAGUUACCCAAACAAACUCCACAAGCCAAGUGUCCCAUUUCCUGUAACCUUCAGAGAUGAACAAAGCUGCACGAAACUCAGCACAAGAGAGGAGAGGCUGAGCCAUCAAACAGGAUUUACUGUCUCGGACACUGUUCCAUGCAGGUGUAGAAGUGCCACUUAUGCAGCCAGAGGUUUAUGCUCAGCUAUCCUUCCACUGGUGCUGUCAUCCUAUAGUUGUUGUGCAAACACAACAUAAAUACCAGGCACAUCUCUGAACUCUGAAAAUAGAAGUAAAAAUAGCUAGUUUCAGAAGCCAACACAGUUUGUCAAUAAUGUUUUAAGAAAUACUACAGAGGUGACUUUAAACUGGAACAUUUAUGAGUUCAUUCUUCCUAAUGAGUAGGAUGACUCUAACAUGUUAAGACUAGUAUAGCUUAGAUAAAACAAUAUCUGUAUCCAAUUGCUUAUAUCCUUAGAUUAUAUCACUGUAGAACCACCAAUACAAUGUAUUCACGGCACACAUUCGGGGAGCAAUCAGAAAGCUGUGCAUUUCUUCUAUGCCACACCUUGCAUACUGCAGCUUACUGGAGGCCAGCAGCACAAGAGAUCACCAGAUUCUGCAGCAUUAACUAAGCCUGAAUAAAUUAUUUUUAACUGCAACUAUCAAGCUCUUAUCCUCUUUAGGGACAGCCACAUUCUUUGUGUAUGUGCUGCAUACAAAAAAUUUAAUAACAUAUUUUCCAGUCCCUGCAGCACUGCUUGCCACUACCAGCAAUGGGCAGAAAGAAAUCAGGGCCACUUAGUAACCCCUUCCCAGUGAGAUUUUUCUUUCCAUCAAACUAUUUUGCAAUAAUUCAGAAAGCCUGUAACUAUUUCCUUUCAGUCACAUUACAUUUCUAAUGUAAUGUUAUUUCAUCAGAACUAGAAUUGGGAACACGGAAGUAAUGGAUUUUUCUCUAAGCUCCCCUCUAAAGCAAGCUUCCCUCAGUCCACCUACUGAAAGGGCAUUGUAAGGUGCCAGAAGGUUUCAGUGACCAUUUUCAAUUAACCUGCAGAGAAGCUUUGGAAUGGAACUUUAUUCUUCCCACAUAACUGAACUCAGAAGGAUGCA
Parus major (Great Tit) is the source of this 2531-nucleotide long non-coding RNA. RefSeq lists it as uncharacterized. The transcript is spliced from 3 exons. The record is from RefSeq and is a predicted model, not a curated record. NCBI's taxonomy places the organism in Eukaryota, Metazoa, Chordata, Aves, Passeriformes, Paridae.